RNAcentral lists this ribosomal RNA (253 nucleotides) under uncultured bacterium. RNAcentral describes it as "partial 16S ribosomal RNA". It matches the Rfam family "Bacterial small subunit ribosomal RNA", at positions 524 to 776 of the family's 1533-position model. The record is from RNAcentral.
UACGUAGGGUGCAAGCGUUAAUCGGAAUUACUGGGCGUAAAGCGUGCGCAGGCGGUUGUGCAAGACCGAUGUGAAAUCCCCGGGCUUAACCUGGGAAUGGCAUUGGUGACUGCACGGCUAGAGUGUGUCAGAGGGGGGUAGAAUUCCACGUGUAGCAGUGAAAUGCGUAGAGAUGUGGAGGAACACCGAUGGCGAAGGCAAUCCCCUGGGCCUGCACUGACGCUCAUGCACGAAAGCGUGGGGAGCAAACAGG